UACGUAGGGGGCUAGCGUUGUCCGGAUUUAUUGGGCGUAAAGAGCGUGUAGGCGGCUGGGUAGGUCCGUUGUGAAAACUCGAGGCUCAACCUCGAGACGCCGAUGGAAACCAUCCAGCUAGAGUCCGGAAGAGGAGAGUGGAAUUCCGGGUGUAGCGGUGGAAUGCGUAGAGAUCCGGAAGAACACCGGUGGCGAAGGCGGCCUGCUGGGCAGUGGCUGACGCUGAGGCGCGACAGCGUGGGGAGCAAACAGG
Molecule: ribosomal RNA, 253 nt
Filed under: uncultured bacterium
Lineage: Bacteria
Description: partial 16S ribosomal RNA
Rfam family: Bacterial small subunit ribosomal RNA
Source: RNAcentral